GCUGGAAUGGUCUAGUUGGUUAUGACGACUGCCUCACACGCAGUAGGUCCCGAGUUCGACUCUCGGUUUCAGUA
Non-coding RNA from Perkinsus olseni, 74 nucleotides. NCBI's taxonomy places the organism in Eukaryota, Perkinsozoa, Perkinsida, Perkinsidae. The record is from the annotation of a GenBank genome assembly.